This 923-nucleotide ribosomal RNA is filed under the name uncultured bacterium. Its description in RNAcentral is "bacterial SSU rRNA". It matches the Rfam family "Bacterial small subunit ribosomal RNA", at positions 14 to 933 of the family's 1533-position model. The record is from RNAcentral.
UGAUCCUGGGUCAGGAAGAACGCUAGCUGGCAGGCUUAACACAUGCAAGUCGAGGGGCAGCAUGUCCAGCAAUGGAUGAUGGCGACCGGCGGAAGGGUGCGUAACGCGUGAGCAACAUGCCCUAUACAGGGAGAUACACCAGGGAAACUUGGUCUAAUAUCCCAUAGCAUUCAUUGAAGGCAUCUUUAAUGAAUUAAAGCUUCGGUGGUAUAGGAUUGGCUCGCGUGACAUUAGCCAGAUGGUGAGGUAACGGCUCACCAUAGCAAUGAUGUCUAGGGGUUUUGAGAGGAAGGCCCCCCACACUGGGACUGAGACACGGCCCAGACUCCUACGGGAGGCAGCAGUGAGGAAUAUUGGACAAUGGAUGGAAAUCUGAUCCAGCCUUGCCGCGUGCAGGAAGACGGCCUUAUGGGUUGUAAACUGCUUUUAUACGGGAGCAAUAAGGGUUACGAGUAAUCCGAUGAGAGUACUGUAUGAAUAAGGAUCGGCUAACUCCGUGCCAGCAGCCGCGGUAAUACGGAGGAUCCGAGCGUUAUCCGGAAUUAUUGGGUUUAAAGGGUGCGUAGGCGGCCAUUUAAGUCAGCGGUGAAAUUUUGCAGCUUAACUGUAACAGUGCCGUUGAUACUGUUUGGCUAGGAUUUGGUUGUAGUGUGCGGAAUGUGUGGUGUAGCGGUGAAAUGCUUAGAUAUCACACAGAACACCGAUUGCGAAGGCAGCACACUAAGUCAUUAUCGACGCUGAGGCACGAAAGUGUGGGGAUCAAACAAGAUUAGAUACCCUGGUAGUCCACACUGUAAACGAUGAUAACUCGCUGUCGGACGAUACACAGUCGGUGGCCAAGCGAAAGCAUUAAGUUAUCCACCUGGGGAGUACGACCGCAAGGUUGAAACUCAAAGGAAUUGACGGGGGCCCGCACAAGCGGA